RNAcentral lists this ribosomal RNA (102 nucleotides) under Caerostris darwini. Lineage: Eukaryota; Metazoa; Arthropoda; Arachnida; Araneae; Araneidae. The record is from RNAcentral.
UCAUGUUGAAUAUACCGGUUCUCGUUAGAUCACCGAAGUCAAGCAUCAUUGGGCGCGGUCAGUACUUGGGUGGGUGACCACCUGGGAACACCGCGUGCCGUU